GGAGGAUAUCCAGCAGGUUGGUGUCCACCAGGAGGAGGAUAUCCUGCUGGUGGGUAACCUUGUUGAGGUGGAUAACCUUGUGGAGGAAAUCCUCCAGGUGGACGAUGGUGCCCUGCAGCAAAUCCAGCAAGUUGGGAAAGCAGCCCUUUGUCAGAAGAUUCACCUUGGUGCUUGUCUUUACCCAUUUUUCUUCAACUAAAGGCAAACACUACAUAUUCAAAAACACAACAGUUAAUAACACCAACCCAAGACUGUUAUCCCCCAAAACAACUCAAGACCAGCAUAAGUUAAAAUCCUUGAGAAAGGACACAAAAGUAAUCAACUUGAAUUACAUGAAUGAAACAUGCACUUCUGCCCCACAACUGAUUAAGUUUUAAUGUAACAAAAUAUGAAAAUGGAUGUAGAAAUAUUUAAUAAGCACUAGAAGUGUUCCCUUUUAUUAACUUUCACUUGAUGUUUUCCAGUAAUAGUUCUCAUUCCCAUUGUAUUUUUUGUCUUACCCACAACACUCACCAUCUAGAUAUUAGAGCUAAAGCAUAUUUCAAAAUAUCAAUCUCAAAUAAUAAUUUAUCUCAACCAUUAAAUCUCUAAUAGUUUUUGCAAGUAUUAAAACUUUUCUUCCCAAAAUUAAGAUGUACGAUGAAGAGGAGUCACAUGCACUGAGCCAAGAGCCUUUGGCUCAACUGACAUUCCUUCCAUUAGAAGAGACCCUCUACACCCAUUCAAUUCCUCAUUUACAAAGGAUAAUAGCUCUUACCAAAAGAUUUUUUAAAAACAAAGCCACGUGCUUUGAGUGCUAGGAUAAGGAAAGGUAAUCGUACCAUGGAACAAAUGCAUUACAUCUGAAAACAUUCCCCAAAUAAAAUACCUUCAAAAGCUAGAUUCAAUCACUCGAAUUGUGUUUUUACAAAAGCACCAGCAUGAAGGGGAAAAAGAAAUUAACCCGAUCUAAACACAAUAUUCCUUCCGAAAGGAAAUUGAAGAGAGUUAACAAUAUCUUCCAAAACGUCCAACACUAUACAAGUAUCUGGCUGGCAUGCCUGCAUGCACAGCUGAGAUGGUGAUGGUGGCAUUGCUACUAAUAGGACUAUCCAGAGAAAGAAUCACAUCAAUACAUGCUCUCUCUCCGAUGUUAAAGUGCUCAUAACUCCAUUAUUUUCGUGAUCACAUAUAUUUGUGUCUCGAUGUCACUAACAACAACAAGUCUGAAUUCUCUCACCAAUCAAGAAACACCCAAAUAUAUAUAUAUAUAUAUAUAUAUAUAUAUAUAUAAAUUGGAAAACCAGAAAUGAAAAAGAAAAUUCCUUCAUCCAAUCAUCACCCAAAUCAAUAUUCAGAAAAUCAUACAUGCUAUCAGCAACAGCCCAUAUUGCAAAACCACAACUUAGAUAGGUGAAACAAAAAGAGAUGGUAAAUGAAAAAUUACUCACGAUUAAGUUAUGAACAAAUCACCGGAUUUAACCAGGAAAGAACAACUGAAACUUUUGAUUCUAGGAAAAUAAUUGUUUACAAAAAGGAUUAACGAGAAAUAAAAAGAUCAGACAAGAUCAUAUAAGAAACAGAGAAGAUAUUUUGAUUUUGACAACAAGAUAUUGAUCAAUAACCAAUCAACAUAACAGAUAAAAAUCAAGAAAUCAUGAGAGAGAAAAAAUUCAACCAAAACAAAAUCCAGAAGGAGCCAAAAAAGUAGUUACCGAUUAGAUUGGAGACGAGGGUGUAGGGAUUAAAACUGGGAAGGAGGGUUUGUGAAUUAGGAAGCGAAGAUUCAGACUUUUAUGAGCUUUUCAAUUUUGUUCCUUUUCAACAGAAAGGCGUGAAUUUAACGUCUUUAUCGGUUUGGAAAACACGCGUUCUUUUAACGCGUCUGCUUUAUACCCAUCUAUUGUUUUU
RNAcentral lists this long non-coding RNA (1890 nucleotides) under Carica papaya (papaya). Its description in RNAcentral is "long non-coding RNA (CPAP_LNC007652)". The record is from RNAcentral. Lineage: Eukaryota; Viridiplantae; Streptophyta; Magnoliopsida; Brassicales; Caricaceae.